ACUGAAGGAUGUCCCGCCCUGCGCUUAAAUUAGUGUGUUUCACCGGCCAAUAGGGAGACAGCUAGGGUCUGGCCCAAUCUUGGGUGUGUUCCUUCACGCUUUUUGGGCGCUUCGCAGGGUAGAGGUAGAGAGGGCAGAAAUCUGAAGAAAGCACCAGGAGAAAAGGAAUGAUCAGGAUGUUCGCGCUGAAGAAAGCACCAGGAGAAAGGGAAUGAUCAGGAUGUUCUCUCUGAAGAAAACCAUCGCGUAUUUUAUUUUAUUUAUAUAUUUUAUUUCUCAUGAUUAAGAAAAAAGCAGUCAUUACUAUUUUAAAAAAGAUGCAGUGUGUAACAUUUAGACAGAAUGGCAGAAAUGAAAUAUGUGUAUUACUGUGUUUUUAUCUGUGCAUAUCAACCUGAAAAUCAGAAUCAGGUUUUUAUCGCCUUAAGAUGAGGCAUUUAUCUACUGUAGGGGUCUUUAACCAGGGGUCUGCGGACCCUCUAGGGGUCGCAGAGGUACUGCAGGGAGUCCACCAAUUUUUGUCAUAACAAUUGACAAUUUUCACCAGAAUAAUGGUCCAAAAACGCAACAAUAACCAAUAAUAAUUAUGCAUGGACCUUUUAAUCAAUCAUGAUCAUAAAUCAGCUAAUUUACCUGGUAUAUGUUAAUAGAAAUGAAAAGAAAGUUGAAUUAGGUAUUAUAAACCAGCCUUAAAAUGUGACACAUUUUAAAAUAUUAAUUACAUCAGGAGUAUUCCAACCUUUUUCAGCCCAAGACAAGAGACUAACAGAGCAUGGACCUUUGUUCUGUUAGUCUCUUGUCCAAGGGUUGAAGACUUCUGAUCUACAGUAUAUCAAUGUGUAAAUAAGAAUUAUGUUUUUAUUGUCUUAUAAGCUGUCCACCAUGUUGAACUGCCAUGUUGUUUCUAUAGUAGCUAAGAACAGACGAGCUAAAAUCUGGCUUUAGAUAAGACCUUUUCUGUUUUUCCGCGUGUUUUACAGCCAGUAGUUUAGUGAGGUGAACAGUAUCCAGUUGGUUGUAACCUGCCACUAAAUCUUACACGCUGCACCUUUAAUGACUGCUUUUCGCUUAAUGUUUGUUGUUUUUCAUGAAUGAAUUUACCACCUGCAACAGUAAAAACUUUUUUCCUUUACCCCUAGAAAAGUGCUUAAGUUUGUUGAAGUCUGGCAAAGUGUGCAGCUGGGCAUGUAACCUCAGCUCGGCUCUGUCAGACACCUGUACCAACAAACAAAAAAAAGCCUUUAUCUAGGGUGGGGACAGCGCAGGGACAAGCGUCUACCUGACAGACAGGGCAUGAAGAUUCAGGUUGUGAACUCUCUUGCCCUCUCUGUCAGGAGUGACUACGACCCUGCGUUGCCGUGGGUUUACUCCGGGUCCUCUCCGGUUUCCUCCCACACACGAAAUACUUUCGGCCCAAUCUGACCCUGCUGCUACACAUCGGCACUUAGGCCUGAGGUGUAGAUAUUGUAUUUCAAUAAAUGAUAACGGUUAACUGUA
This is a long non-coding RNA of Larimichthys crocea (large yellow croaker), 1497 nucleotides long. RefSeq lists it as uncharacterized. The transcript is spliced from 2 exons. The record is from RefSeq and is a predicted model, not a curated record. NCBI's taxonomy places the organism in Eukaryota, Metazoa, Chordata, Actinopteri, Sciaenidae.